Molecule: ribosomal RNA, 500 nt
Filed under: uncultured Glomeromycotina
Lineage: Eukaryota; Fungi; Glomeromycota
Description: partial small subunit ribosomal RNA
Rfam family: Eukaryotic small subunit ribosomal RNA
Source: RNAcentral
CCAAUAGCGUAUAUUAAAGUUGUUGCAGUUAAAAAGCUCGUAGUUGAAUUUCGGGGUCAGUAGGUUGGUCGUGCCUAUGGUAUGUACUGGCUUUACUGAUUCCUCCUUCUUGAAGAACUGUAAUGUCAUUAAUUUGGUGUUGCAGGGAAACAGGACUGUUACUUUGAAAAAAUUAGAGUGUUUAAAGCAGGCUAACGCUUGAAUACAUUAGCAUGGAAUAAUGAAAUAGGACGUUCGAUCCUAUUUUGUUGGUUUCUAGGAUUGACGUAAUGAUUAAUAGGGAUAGUUGGGGGCAUUAGUAUUCAAUUGUCAGAGGUGAAAUUCUUGGAUUUAUUGAAGACUAACUACUGCGAAAGCAUUUGCCAAGGAUGUUUUCAUUAAUCAAGAACGAAAGUUAGGGGAUCGAAGACGAUCAGAUACCGUCGUAGUCUUAACCAUAAACUAUGCCGACUAGGGAUCGGAUGAUGUUAAUUUUUUAAUGACUCAUUCGGCGCCUUACG